UUAUGUUUUGUGGAUUUUCCAGGGAGAAUCUGUGUCAUAGUCCCAAAUCUGGCUGGUGCAGGACCACCGUGAUGGAGGAGGUGAACGACAACGAGCUUCCAACCGAGCCGCUGCACUACCCCACGGUCGCGGUAGGACCUGAAGAGCUACCCCCCAUGGCGACAGGUACUAGCACACAGCAGAUGAUAAAAAAAGCAAUACAAAAAGGUUGGUUGCUUUUUCUGGAUACUAGAUUCCAAUAUAGCACAAUUCAGUUGGAAACUUUUGAUUACAGUCUUCAGAUGGACACAUUCAUAGCGGGUGUAUCUCGUAAAUGGAAAAAAGAUGACGUAUGAGGUGCCAAAGACAAAUGAAUGUAGAGAGAAAAAACAUCAUCUAGGUUGUUUUGGAAAAGGAUUUUAGUUGUAUUUUUUUCGAAUAAUGAAAUCGUGCUGAAACUACAAAAGGUAAAUAGAUUUUGCCAGAAACUGUUUUGCUUUUACUCCUAACCAGUAAUGAAUAUACACUAGCAUCCAUCACAUGAUGUACAAUAAAAAAAUAGCAAUGUGGGUUGGUUUCCUUGAUACUGGUUACUGAUAUGAGUGAGUAAAUAGCAGAAUUGAGCUGACAAACUUGUAAUUACAAACUUAAAUCCUAAACCCAAGAAGUCUAGGAUGGCCUAGAAGGUAAUCUUUUGCAUAUAGAUGUUUGGAUUCCACACUGUUUGCCUGAUUUAGGUGAGAUGAGAUCAGAGGAAAAAGAAAAGUGUCAAACCAAUGAAUGUGUACAUGAGGAAGCAUCAUCUGUGAUGUUUUAUCAGAAAACAAGAUGUGACAGUUUGAUUUUUUAUGAAACGCAGGGUGAGAAUUGGAGCUGCUGCUCCAGGAAGGGCGGCCUUGCCCUGGGCGGCCCAGCGCCCUUGAGAAAGCAAUUCGUGGAUUCGCUGAUAAACCGGGUGAAAAUGUAAUCGUGCCUGCCCUGGGUACAAGCUUUGAUACACUCGGCGAGGCCUACGAUUUUUACAAUCUCUACUCGUGGGCAGUGGCGGAGCUUCGAAGAAAAACCUGGGCGGGCCAACUCAAAGGAAAGCACAACUAUAUACAGUAUCUAGCUAGUCUGCAAUUGCAGACAAGAAGGCGGCUCACCACUGCAAAUUUUAGAAUGUAAAGGAUAGUUGAGCGAAAAAAUCAGGCCAUGAGUUAGCGAACUCAGAAUUUGGGGAAAUAAAUUAGAGUAACUAUUCUGUAUAGACUCGCAAUUGCAAGGGAAUUGAAGAUGCACUGCUUGGUUGCUGCCUUGGCCGCCGGCUGGACGCUGCUUGCUAUGAGGCUGCUCCUGCAUGGCUGUUGGACCUAUGGCGGCUGCUCUCUAUUUUGUGCCAGCACUAAAUCUAGACGAGCAGAUGCAUCUUGUUGCGCAUGUAUAACGCUGGCCUCCGCCAGCGGGUACUGCGUCUCCUCGAACCCUGCUGGCUUUUGCAUCGACGAGUAGUAGCCUGAAUAUAGGUUGCAUGGUUACUGGGCUGGGCUACAAAAGUAUAGGUAUUAUUUUUUUUGUCAAAAUCUUGGGCGGGCCAUGGCCCAGGUCUGCCCCAACUAAGCUCCGCCCCUGCUUGUGGGAGAAGGGGUUUGGAAUAAGGUAUGGCAAGAGUAGACUGAAUGUGGAGAGGAAUGCAUGCAGGGAAUUGUUUGUGGCUGUGCGGGGAAACCUGGGAUGGAGAACAUUAGAUUGUGCCGAUGCGAAUGCCCUGCACUAAUAAGAGCUCUGAAGAAUUUGUGUGGUAAAAUUAGCAGGGAGCAAACAGAAGAUGAUGUUAGGAAAAUUAUGGAGGUUUUUGCUGAACUUGGUUCGAGAGAUCUGCGCUUCACUUAUCGUGUGCAAGCGGACAAAGAUGGGCGGAUAAUAAACUUUGAUGUGGGCAAAUGGGAGCAGCAGUUGCAGUACACGUUCUUUGGAGAUGUUGUUACAACCUUCGUUUCUUUACUGUAGACCAUUGUGUUGUGUAGCUAAGAGUGUGCGGCGAGAAUGUGUUUGAUUUCCUGUAGAAUCUGACUUGUUUGCAUGCUUGCUCAAUGUAUUGCUGUGCUGAUGGAUGUGUUAAUGACUCGUUUCUGAAUAAAAAUGAAACUCCUGUUCAAACUGAUA
Molecule: long non-coding RNA, 2124 nt
Organism: Aegilops tauschii subsp. strangulata
Lineage: Eukaryota; Viridiplantae; Streptophyta; Magnoliopsida; Poales; Poaceae
Source: RefSeq, a predicted model, not a curated record